Molecule: long non-coding RNA, 329 nt
Filed under: Solanum tuberosum (potato)
Lineage: Eukaryota; Viridiplantae; Streptophyta; Magnoliopsida; Solanales; Solanaceae
Description: long non-coding RNA (STUB_LNC005527)
Source: RNAcentral
AGUUGUUUAGAUAAGUUAAAUUAAUUAAUGUAAUUCAAACUUUUAAAUAAAUAAUUAGUUGAUACAUAUAUAUCGUUAUAAAUUUCAGUUUUUAUUUAUAGGAAAAAGAAUUGGGACGCACUCCCAUUGAACCAGAGGUUUUCAAAAAGACUCAUGUCAGGAAGAAAGAAAAUGAGUCGGAUCCGGAUGUGUGGGUGGAGGAAAGGGCCGAACGAACUUUUGUAAGUUAUUUAAUAUGAAUAAUAUAUAUCAAUAGUGAAUAUAUUUAUGAUAUGUAUAUAUAUUGAUGUCAAUAUUUAUAUUUAAUAUGCAGAAUGACUUUCAUAAGU